This 705-nucleotide long non-coding RNA is filed under the name Apteryx haastii (Great spotted kiwi). RNAcentral's name for it is "lncRNA (ENSAHAG00000010901.1)". Lineage: Eukaryota; Metazoa; Chordata; Aves; Apterygiformes; Apterygidae. The record is from RNAcentral.
UAUACAGUGGCUCUCGGCUCCCCCCCGGCCUCCGCCGGCCCCGGGCGUCCGUGCCCUAUGCCAGGGGGUCGGCCAGCUCGUCGUCCGCUCCCCGCGACAGCAGCUCCCGCUUCUCGUCGGUGCUAGCCAGAGAGUUGCGGCUGUUGUGGGCGCCCAUGUACAGCGUGGCGUAGACGGGGUUGGUGAAGUUGGUGGGCUGCGGAGAGGAGGGUGAGGCGGUCGGACGGGGGCACGGACAUGGCGCUGUGCCCCCCUGCGCGGGGCGCCCUGCCGCGGCCCUGCCGCCCACCUUGUCCGGGUCCAGGGCAAAGUCGGCGUCCAGCAGCUCCCCCACGUCGUCGUCGGGCUCCCCCUCGUACAUCUUGUAGGUGGGGUUCCCGAUCUCCACGUUCAUGGCACCAUUGGUCAUCCGCUGGUGCUGGAAGCCCUUGGCGCUGGGGGGGGGGCAGGGAGAGGAGCAGAGGGGGCAGGUUCUGGAGCUCAGCRCGAGCCACGCACGGGCGGCAGCGCUGGAGCCUUCCUGACGCCGACCCAGCGCAGGGGGACGCUGGUGCAAAUCCGUCAGGGCUGAUCCAGUCCCGACCCCUCUGCCCUCACCUCUAGUUUAUCAUGUUCAUUUAUUUUAAAGAGACUGUACAUGGAAUUAAAAGAUUUUGGCAGAAACCUACCUCUGAGCGCCCCAUAACGACAGUGUGAAAAUGGAGA